CCCAUCCUGCCAGAACUCUGUCUCUCAAAAAUAAAUAAACUUUAAAAAAAAAAAAAAUGAGUGAAUGAAUGAAUGAAUGAAUGAAUGAAACAGCCCCUGAUUUGUAGUUGUGUUAGGAGGCUUAUAUAAACAACAGACAGCAUAACAAUUCAUUGCUUCCUCAUAAUUACCAUGUCUGUAGGAACUUAAAAAAUGGUGCAUGCCAUUUACAGUAAAUGGGGCUGACUCUAUAAAAAGUAUUUGUAAAUUUUGUAAUUCUAGGGAUAUAUGUCAGCAAUUAUCAUAUGGUCUCAAAUCCUGACAAACAUCCCAAAAGAUAUUUUAAAAGAUACAUUGGAUGAAAAAUAGUGAUGAGACUGUCAGUAAUCCCUCUCUGGUCACUCUUACAAAUUCUACAUUUCCUUUUUAUGAAUGUACUUUUUAAGAUAGUAAACCUGCUUCAUUUCUUCAUCCUGAUUUGAAAUUUUGGUUAUUUUACCAAAUAUUUGGUUAUUACCAAGAAAACUUGGUAAUUUUGAGUUUUGGAUAUCCUAAAAGAUACAUUGAAAGUCUAAUAAUGGAUGUCCGUUCUUAAGUUAACUAUGACUUUUUCUCAAAAAAUUUCAUGAUAUGUUUUUUGUCCUGAGCUGGAGUUGACAGGUAUUAAGUUUCUUAGUUAACCUUGCAGGUGCUUUCAAGAUAACUUGAACAUGAGACUACCAGAAAGGACUGUAAAAAAGCUGCAGUCAGAGUUGGUGGUAUGGAAAGUUCUUUUGAAACAUGGAAAACAUUAAUUUAAAAGAGUUCGAGAGUUUAAGCCAAAAGAGCUGGUCAGGUUGUAUAGCAAAAGAAAACUCUACGCUCUACGAGACCCCACCCCCCCGCCCCACUGUACUUCUCUUUGAAUCGCCUCUCUACUGCUGUUUAUAUGAAAUUGAUCUAAAUGCUCCCAUUCCAGGGACUCGUGAACUUAAGUACAGGGAAUGAUAGCAACUGCAAAUGAGUUUAAGAAGACAAGCUGACUGUCAUUAUGACCUUUUUAAAACGUUCUGUGACAUCUGUUUUCCAUUUUUGCUAGGCUGUUUGAUUAACUUUAGUUUUGCAGAAUUGCGGAAAUCUUUUUUGCUCAAAAUAGUAUCUUGAAGGAAGUGACCCUUAUUUAAUAGAGAAGAAUGUUAAGUGUAAUAUGGGCUUAAUUAACUUCAUCCCAAGUUUCAGAUUUUUCCCAUUGGCUUCAAGGUCUCUUCCCCUGUAUGGCUCAUUUCUGUACAACCAGAUAAAACUUCGGGUGGUGGAAUGCUCUGAUCUGGCUGGUGCCAAUGUCAUAUUUCUAAGAUGGCAAAAAUGGAAGAAAUUUCAAAGAGAAUAGUGACAGUUCAGAAACUAUUCCUGUCCUUAUCUCUAUUAUACGAGGUCUCGUGGGCUUCUGAGCUAGUGAGCGUGUCAAGUUGUGAAAACUAUUCCUUCCUUAUAAUGAAGGUGAUCUUUUUGAUAAGAAUAAUUGUCUUGAAAGAGAAAGAGGGACAAAAAGGUCAGUACAUCCCAUAAAAACCUGGGACAUGAAUGCCUCUUUUGCUGUGGUUCAGUGGUCCUAGAAAGCUCAUACUGGACAUGGCUUAGAAGGCAAAGCAGAGCAUUAAAUCAACAACAGACUGUAUUUUUCUGUUUGCCAGAGCACACAACAGCCCGGUUGCCCUGAGAUCAGGACACAAAGGGAAAUAGCUGCAUUUCAACAUGUCCUGGCUUCACUAGAGAAAGCCUACUGGGUUUCUGGCUUUCCAAAGUGGACAGAAGCUGGCAGAUCAGCUGCCUUUACCCCUAUGUGCUUAGCUAUUCUAAGUAGUUUCUGAGAAAGCAAUGUGGAUUGUACUAGACCUGAUUUUUCUAUUCAGAGGAAUUAAUGAGCUUUAAUUAGUCACUUUUUACAUGGCUUCUCUGCUUCAGCCUGGCAAGUGCUGCCGGUUCCUUCGUUUUCCUUGAGUUCCAUACCCAGUGUUUCUUGAACAAAUCUGUCUUCUGUAUCUGACUUGGGCUGGUUUCAUUCUCCCAGCUCCUACUUAACCCUCAAAUGAGGUGACCUUAGCUCUCUGACCUCUGGCUCAGUAUCGAGGCCAGAUUUGUCCUGGAGAAGGAAAAAGUAAAUUGGAAAGAAGUUAGGUGGAGGAGAAGACUCUGUGUUUUAAAGAAAGGUUUGUUUAAUGUAUUAUGGUAGUAUUGAGAUGUUCCCUUAAUAUCUUACAAAUAAUUCAUUUGGAAAGAAAGCCAAGUGCAUAGUGUUUUGAGGACAAGAACACUUCCUCCUUAGUGAACAUACCAGAUACAUCAUUCUGAUGCUCCAGGCACUAAUUUACCAGGAUCCUGUUUCCCAACUAUGCUUUUUAAAAAAAUUAGUAAUAGUAGUUUUUAAAUAGCUUCCAGUAUUUCAAAACAUCUAGUAGAUUGCACAGGUCAACUGAAAUUACUGAUUUAUUUCCAUUUAGCUGCAAUCAUAUUAAUUCAUUAUGGUAACCCAACAUAUGCUGAUUGAUAGUUGUGUAGUCUCUGUUUAGCACUAAAUGAGAAAACACUUUAAGUAAUUUAUUGGAUGUAGUUGGAUUUCCUUUAAACUAUAAAAAAUGCCUUGCCUAUUUCAUUCCCUCCUUUCUAUUUUCAAGGAUUCAUUUUCUCUUUCUAGAUUCCCAACUUCCCACCUGCUGUUUCUCCUCUAUUCUUCUUUUACAAACACCAUGCCCUGCUUUUCAGGAGGCAUAGACUAGAUUAGGUCAUCCUGUGUGUCCUCUACCAGCACUGAGGACUUCUCCCAUGACAACCCCCAUGUAAUUACUCACUAGGGUUGUCUCUCCACAAGAUUAUAUGUUCUGUGACAUCAGGCUUGUAUCACUCCUGUUCUUCACUUUGCCCUAUCCCUACCCCAGUGCCUGGAACAUCAUAAACAAUAAAUAUCAGUGGGUUUAAUGGCUAGAUUGCAUUCAUUGCCAAACUGAGUGGCAUUUAUUUAUUUGAAUGCUUGACUGACUCCAUCACUAGGCGAUCAUAUUCUGGAGGAAUAUGGUACCUGUGGAGGUAUCAAUCAUUUUUUAAUCCCCAGCACCUAGCACUAGAUCUAGGACAGAAAUUUAAUUCAACUACAGUUGAGAUUUUAAAAAAAUGGGGACACUAUAGAUUUUGAUAAAGAAUUUAAUGAUCAUGAUUCUUAUUUUAUCACUAGGCAGUCCUAUGAAAAGAUGAUCCUUUGCCCAAAAUUCCACUCAAUUGAUGAGUCUAUGGUCUUACUCAAUUUCUAGUAAGUGAGUACUACCAUGAUUUUAGGUCUGUAAGUAGCUUAAAUUUAGAGUUUUGGUUAGAGAUGGUCCUACCAAUCCCUGUUGUAGAUAAAGAGUUUGAAUGAGGUUGCUGACUGGACCUUUUAACUUGCUGUUCUUGUUUAUUUUCUGCUUGUUUUGUUUGUUCAGGUCUGGCCUGGAGCCUAAAAAUAAAAGCGUGCUUGCAGUUUGA
Long non-coding RNA from Leopardus geoffroyi (Geoffroy's cat), 3474 nucleotides. RefSeq lists it as uncharacterized. NCBI's taxonomy places the organism in Eukaryota, Metazoa, Chordata, Mammalia, Carnivora, Felidae. The transcript has 2 exons. The record is from RefSeq and is a predicted model, not a curated record.